CGGCCGGGGGGACGGGGUGCGCCGCGCUCGGUGCCCCCUCGGCCCGCGCCUCGCCAGCACCACCUGCGGAGCCGCGGUGCCCACGCUGUGCCGCGACCCCGCCGCCCCCCGCUCCCGCCACACGCGGGCAAACAAAACAAGUUGCAGGUCGCUGCCGCCGGAGGGGGCCGGGCGGGUCACUCACCCUCAUCCUGCUCAGCGGGCUCGGGUCGUCCGGCCGCGGGGUCAGGGAAGACCAGAGGACCACUAGCCCCAGGAAGCUUCCCACCACCAGCAAACUGCGUGGUGGAUUUGUACCGAAAGGCCCAGGUGAGAUGUGCAAAUAUCACUGGAUUGGAGGAGCUCACUUGGAAAGGCAGUAUUUCUUUCUCUUGAGCUAAUGGGAAAAAAAGGCAUUCGUCUUACACCAAUAAGCAAUACCAACCUUGUUCACGGGCUGGGGAGACAGUUUUUUAUUAUUAAGGAAGUAGGAAGCUUGGUCCUGCACGGUGGCUCAUGCAUAAUCCCAGCACUUUGGGAGGCCAAGUUCCUGGGAUAAUAGUCACUAAGGAAGAGGGUAGAAACUAGAACUGAAUGAGAUGGACACAGAGAUCGCCAAGAGAAGCGUCAUCCUCUGCCAAGUCAUGGGGUCAUGCGUGGUGGAUGGUGACAUGGCAUCUUCAGCUCAGAGUCCAGCUGGGAGCUCAGAAGCAAGAUCAUUUGCUGUGGGGAAGCAAACUACCAUAUGAGAGGACGAUCAAACAGCCUCUGGAGUCUCAUUUGGUAAGGAACCGAGGACUCCAGCCUGAGGACUCGGGCAGGAAACCGAGGCCUGCCAACAACUAUGGAGCAAGCCUGGAAGUGGAUCCUUCCUCAGCCUUCAGAUAGGGCAGCAGCUGGAAUGACAGCCAAGGCAGUGCCACCUAGCUUAGCAACCCCCAGAGAACUAACUCUCGGUAAGAUAAUACAUGUUUGUUGUUUUAUGCUGCUAAGUUUGGGGGUAAUUUAUUAUACAAUAGAUAAUUAAAACGCAUAGCAUAUAAAUAAAAUCAAUAAAACCAGUAUGGGUAAGC
This is a non-coding RNA of Saimiri boliviensis boliviensis (Bolivian squirrel monkey), 1052 nucleotides long. NCBI's taxonomy places the organism in Eukaryota, Metazoa, Chordata, Mammalia, Primates, Cebidae. The record is from RefSeq and is a predicted model, not a curated record.